UGGGGAAUAUUGCACAAUGGGGGAAACCCUGACGCAGCGACGCCGCGUGAGCGAAGAAGGCCUUAGGGUUGUAAAGCUCUGUUUUAAGGGACGAAUGUUCAUGGGAGUAAUAUGCCCAUGAAAUGACGGUACCUCAAGAGGAAGCCCCGGCUAACUACGUGCCAGCAGCCGCGGUAAGACGUAGGGGGCGAGCGUUGUCCGGAAUUACUGGGCGUAAAGAGCACGUAGGCGGGAACUUAAGUCAGGUGUGAAAGACCGGGGCUCAACCUCGGGUAUGCACUUGAAACUGGGUUUCUUGAGGGCAGGAGAGGAAAGCAGAAUUCCUGGUGUAGCGGUGAAAUGCGUAGAAAUCAGGAGGAAUACCAGUGGCGAAGGCGGCUUUCUGGACUGACCCUGACGCUGAGGUGCGAAAGCGUGGGUAGCAAACAGG
RNAcentral lists this ribosomal RNA (430 nucleotides) under uncultured bacterium. RNAcentral describes it as "bacterial SSU rRNA". It matches the Rfam family "Bacterial small subunit ribosomal RNA", at positions 355 to 776 of the family's 1533-position model. The record is from RNAcentral.